RNAcentral lists this ribosomal RNA (484 nucleotides) under uncultured bacterium. RNAcentral describes it as "partial 16S ribosomal RNA". It matches the Rfam family "Bacterial small subunit ribosomal RNA", at positions 30 to 507 of the family's 1533-position model. The record is from RNAcentral.
AUUGAACGCUGGCGGCAGGCCUAACACAUGCAAGUCGAGCGGAUGAAGGGAGCUUGCUCCUGGAUUCAGCGGCGGACGGGUGAGUAAUGCCUAGGAAUCUGCCUGGUAGUGGGGGAUAACGUCCGGAAACGGGCGCUAAUACCGCAUACGUCCUGAGGGAGAAAGUGUGGGAUCUUCGGACCUCACGCUAUCAGAUGAGCCUAGGUCGGAUUAGCUAGUUGGUGGGGUAAAGGCCUACCAAGGCGACGAUCCGUAACUGGUCUGAGAGGAUGAUCAGUCACACUGGAACUGAGACACGGUCCAGACUCCUACGGGAGGCAGCAGUGGGGAAUAUUGGACAAAGGGCGAAAGCCUGAUCCAGCCAUGCCGCGUGUGUGAAGAAGGUCUUCGGAUUGUAAAGCACUUUAAGUUGGGAGGAAGGGCAGUAAGUUAAUACCUUGCUGUUUUGACGUUACCAACAGAAUAAGCACCGGCUAACUUCGUG